UACGUAGGGUGCGAGCGUUGUCCGGAAUUAUUGGGCGUAAAGAGCUCGUAGGCGGUGUGUCGCGUCGGUCGUGAAAACUUUCAGCUUAACUGGGAGCUUGCGGUCGAUACGGGCAUCACUGGAGUUCGGCAGGGAGACUGGAAUUCCUGGUGUAGCGGUGAAAUGCGCAGAUAUCGGGAGGAACACCGGUGGCGAAGGCGGUUCUCUGGGCCUGUACUGACGCUGAGGAGCGAAAGCGUGGGAGC
RNAcentral lists this ribosomal RNA (245 nucleotides) under uncultured bacterium. Its description in RNAcentral is "partial 16S ribosomal RNA". It matches the Rfam family "Bacterial small subunit ribosomal RNA", at positions 524 to 769 of the family's 1533-position model. The record is from RNAcentral.